This 735-nucleotide ribosomal RNA is filed under the name Triticum aestivum (bread wheat). Its description in RNAcentral is "partial small subunit ribosomal RNA". Lineage: Eukaryota; Viridiplantae; Streptophyta; Magnoliopsida; Poales; Poaceae. The record is from RNAcentral.
AUGGAUUCCAUCUUGGCGAAUGAAACUUGGGAGAUAACUGAUCGUCCUUAUGGGUGCAAACCUAUAGGAUGCAAAUGGGUAUUCAAGAAGAAACUUAGGCCUGAUGGCUUUGUUGUGAACGAAGCUGACAAAUGUGUGUACUAUCGCCAUGGUGGGGGCAAGGGAGUUAUGCUUUGCUUGUAUGUUGAUGACAUACUGAUUUUCGGAACAAAUCUGAAUGUUCUUAAGGAGGUCAAGGAUUUCCUAUCUUGCUGUUUUGAGAUGAAGGAUUUAGGAGUGGCUGAUGUCAUUCUGAACAUCAAGUUGUUGAGAGAUGAUGAUGGUGGGAUUACAUUGCUUCAAUCUCACUAUGUGGAAAAGAUCUUGAGCCGCUUUGGCUACAGUGACUGCACUGCAAAUUAUGGAAUUCACUACACUUGGCAUCCAAAGGUGCUUGAAGGGUAUAGUGACUCAAACUGGAUCUCAGAUGCUGAUGAGAUAAAGGCCACGAGCGGUUAUGUAUUCACUCAUGGAGGUGGCGCUGUUUCUUGGAAGUCUUGCAAGCAGACCAUCUUAAUGAGGUCAACAAUGGAAGCAGAACUCACAACACUAGAUACAGGUACGGUCGAAGCAGAUUGGCUUCGUCGGCUCUUGAAUGACUUACCGGUAGUUGAGAAACCUGUACCGGGUAUCCGGAUGAACUGUGACAAUCAAACUGUGAUCACUAAAGUGAGCAACUCAAAGGAUAACAUGAAG